GAUGAACGCUGGCGGCGUGCCUAAUACAUGCAAGUCGAGCGAACGGACGAGAAGCUUGCUCUUCUGAUGUUAGCGGCGGACGGGUGAGUAACACGUGGAUAACCUACCUAUAAGACUGGGAUAACUUCGGGAAACCGGAGCUAAUACCGGAUAAUAUUUUGAACCGCAUGGUUCAAAAGUGAAAGACGGUUUUGCUGUCACUUAUAGAUGGAUCCGCGCUGCAUUAGCUAGUUGGUAAGGUAACGGCUUACCAAGGCAACGAUGCAUAGCCGACCUGAGAGGGUGAUCGGCCACACUGGAACUGAGACACGGUCCAGACUCCUACGGGAGGCAGCAGUAGGGAAUCUUCCGCAAUGGGCGAAAGCCUGACGGAGCAACGCCGCGUGAGUGAUGAAGGUCUUCGGAUCGUAAAACUCUGUUAUUAGGGAAGAACAAAUGUGUAAGUAACUAUGCACGUCUUGACGGUACCUAAUCAGAAAGCCACGGCUAACUACGUG
This 497-nucleotide ribosomal RNA is filed under the name uncultured bacterium. Its description in RNAcentral is "partial 16S ribosomal RNA". It matches the Rfam family "Bacterial small subunit ribosomal RNA", at positions 28 to 507 of the family's 1533-position model. The record is from RNAcentral.